GACAGAGGGUGCGAGCGUUGUCCGGAAUCACUGGGCGUAAAGGGCGCGUAGGUGGCGCGGCAAGUCAACGGUGAAAGCUCGACGCUCAACGUCGAGUCGGCCGUCGAUACUGCUGGGCUUGAGCACUGUAGAGGCAGAUGGAAUUCCGGGUGUAGCGGUGGAAUGCGUAGAGAUCCGGAGGAAGACCGGUGGCGAAGGCGGGUUGCUGGGCUGACACUGACGCUGAAGUGCGAAAGCUAGGGGAGCGAACGGG
This 253-nucleotide ribosomal RNA is filed under the name uncultured bacterium. Its description in RNAcentral is "partial 16S ribosomal RNA". It matches the Rfam family "Bacterial small subunit ribosomal RNA", at positions 524 to 776 of the family's 1533-position model. The record is from RNAcentral.